Molecule: long non-coding RNA, 1189 nt
Organism: Bos taurus (domestic cattle)
Lineage: Eukaryota; Metazoa; Chordata; Mammalia; Artiodactyla; Bovidae
Source: Ensembl
GUGUUGGGAGAAUUCACACCAGGUGGGCUCAUCCGUUAUCCCGGACAUCUGUGGCUGGGGAAGGGGCGAGCACACAGGCAGCUACUAACUGCGCCCCGUAAUGAAGAGGGCUGACGGCCACGCGAGGGAAGCAGGGACUGGCUGAGUGUGCCGAGAGCGAGAGGACAGCCACCUUCAGCGGAAGGAGACCGGCAACCGGGAUGCUUUGAGGCUCAAUUUGCCCCUGAGUGGAAACUCCAGAAUUCUUACUCUUAGAUCAGUUCCCAUGAUUGUUAUCAGGUGUACCACCUCUAGAAGCAGCACACUAAAUGUUUUUUUCCUGGUAUUCAUAGGGGUGUGUGUGGACCGCUUACUGAUAGGAGCAGCAAGGGAGCCUUCCCUCCGAUGGCUUUCCCUCUGCAUUCUAAGGCGCCGCUUGGUGGAAGCUGUCUUUGUUUUAAGUCCCAACAGCAGCCCUGGCCCGUGCUGUUUGGGCCAUAUGAGGACAGAAGGUGUGAUAGACAUGCCUCGAGGUAACAGGCUCUCUGGCCAAAGCUCUUCCAGGAGUCAGAGGGCAGAGAAUCAAGCUCUCUCAAGUCUCUUCUUUUAAGGACACUAAUCUCAUCUUGGGGGCUCUGCCCUCAUGACCUUGCUGCUGCUGCUAAGUCGCUUCAGUCGUGUCCGACUCUGUGCGACCCCAUAGACGGAAGCCCACCAGGCUCCCCCAUCCCUGGGAUUCUCUGGGCAAGAACACUGGAGUGGGUUGCCAUUUCCUUCUCCAGUGCAUGAAAGUGGAAAGUGAAAGUGAAGUCGCUCAGUCGUGUCCGACUCUUAGCGACCCCAUGGACUGCAGCCCACCAGGCUCCUCCGUCCAUGGGAUUUUCCAGGCAAGAGUACUGGAGUGGGGUGCCAUUGCCUUCUCCACACACAUCAAUGGUUAUCAUCAAAAUAGAAACCUGAACACAUCCAAAACAGCCCUCCCUUUAUGUGUCCUUCUGCCCCUCUGUUGCCAACCUAAUGAUCAAGUCCUGAUGGUUUAACACUUCCAUGUCCAAGAUGUUGCUUUAUGUUUUCAUCAGUUAUAACCCAGGUAUUUAAAAAUUGGUUAAUUCACUAGCUCUAUUUUUUAUCAUACAUUUUCACCUUAGGACAUUCCUAUCCCUUCUCCAGGGGCUCUUCCCCACCCAGGGAUUGAACCCAGGUCUCCUGC